AGUGAACGCUGGCGGUAGGCCUAACACAUGCAAGUCGAACGGCAGCACAGUAAGAGCCUGCUCUUACGGGUGGCGAGUGGCGGACGGGUGAGGAAUACAUCGGAAUCUACUUUUUCGUGGGGGAUAACGUAGGGAAACUUACGCUAAUACCGCAUACGACCUACGGGUGAAAGCAGGGGAUCUUCGGACCUUGCGCGAUUGAAUGAGCCGAUGUCGGAUUAGCUAGUUGGCGGGGUAAAGGCCCACCAAGGCGACGAUCCGUAGCUGGUCUGAGAGGAUGAUAGGCCACACUGGAACUGAGACACGGUCCAGACUCCUACGGGAGGCAGCAGUGGGGAAUAUUGGACAAUGGGCGCAAGCAUGAUCCAGCCAUACCGCGUGGGUGAAGAAGGCCUUCGGGUUGUAAAGCCCUUUUGUUGGGAAAGAAAAGCAGCAGGUUAAUACCCCGCUGUUCUGACGGUACCCAAAGAAUAAGCACCGGCUAACUUCGUG
Molecule: ribosomal RNA, 492 nt
Filed under: uncultured bacterium
Lineage: Bacteria
Description: partial 16S ribosomal RNA
Rfam family: Bacterial small subunit ribosomal RNA
Source: RNAcentral